AUCGCCAGAGAGUAUUUGAGGACAUGGUUACAGUUACGUUCCCAGGGGAACAACCUUUGGCCUCUUAAGACAUCUACUUGCUUUCAGUUUUGAAGGAACUCAGGCAGCCAUGGGGUAUUUUUCAGAAUUCCCGGCGGUGAAGGGUCAGAGCCAUGGGCAUUAGGGAGAAAGCUGAAGGCACAGCGGGUAGUGCCAAAGUCUCCCGUGAUGUAUCCUGUGUCCACAUCCCAACAACCCCAUCGGCAGGACUCUUUCCUGGUUUGCCCACAAGGAGGAAAGUGAGGCUUCAGAGAGAUGAAGCAACUUGUUUGAAGGCGGCCACACAGCUGAUGCAGUGGAUGCCAGAACACCCUACAGCUGGAGAGAGGCGGGGAGACCCUCAGGUGCUUGUGCCUACGAGCACUGCCCCAGCCUGGCAGCACCAGGGAUGGGAGAGGAAGGAAAGCCCCAGGAAUGCCUGUGGGGUGUGACAGCAGCCCCUGAGUGAAGAGCUGUGCCCAACCCCAGCUAAGCCCUCAGGACCCAGGACAAGGGGCCUUCUUCUACAUAGGAGAGUGGCCUCAUCAGCAUCCCACAUAGAGGGAGGCAGACAGGCCCUGCAAACCUUCCUCUAAACUUCACGCAUCUCCUCGGAAGUCCCUAUAAUAAUGACAAGUAGGUUUAUUGAGCACUAAUGGGCUGGGUGCUUGGCUAAGUGGUUUAUGUCAGCAUCUCAUUUAAUUCUCCGAAGAACCUUGUAUGCUAGUAUUAUGGGGAGCCUGUCUAGUGGGUCAGAAAAUAUGACUGACAAUAAAAAUUUGAAGACAAUAACAACAAUAAUAACAUUAACAAAGGAAACAAUGCUUCCCAGAGAUCUAAGGAAGGGAAAUUAAUGUCUGAUGAAGGGAUGAUUAAAGUGACGACGCAGAAAGGGAUUUCACAGGAAAUACGAAGAUAUGAAAGUAAUUCUUCAGAGAAGAUCUCCACCAAGAACACUCAACCCACAUUCAGGCAGAGUAUGCAAGGAGGCAAACUGUUGUGGACUACGCGAUCUCCACAUGGAAGAUGUCACAUCAAAAAAUAAAAAUAGGCCGGGCGCGGUGGCUCACGCCUGUAUUUCCAGCACUUUAUGAAGCCGAGGCGAGUGGAUCACCUGAGGUCAGGAGUUUGAGACCAGCCUGGCUAGCAUGGUGAAACCCCAUCUCUGUUAAAAACACAAAAUUAGCCAGGUGUGGUGGCACAUGUCUGCAAUCCCAGCUACUUGGGAGGCUGAGACAGGAGAAUUGCUUGAACCCAGUAGGCAGAGGCUGCAGUGAGCCGAGAUCGUGCCACUGCACUCCAGCCUGGGUAAGACAGAG
This is an RNA transcript of Pan troglodytes (chimpanzee), 1337 nucleotides long. RefSeq lists it as uncharacterized. NCBI's taxonomy places the organism in Eukaryota, Metazoa, Chordata, Mammalia, Primates, Hominidae. The record is from RefSeq and is a predicted model, not a curated record. The transcript has 3 exons.